AUGAACGCUGGCGGCGUGCCUAAUACGUGCAAGUCGAGCGAACAGACGAGGAGCUUGCUCCUCUGACGUUAGCGGCGGACGGGUGAGUAACACGUGGAUAACCUACCUAUAAGACUGGGAUAACUUCGGGAAACCGGAGCUAAUACCGGAUAAUAUAUUGAACCGCAUGGUUCAAUAGUGAAAGACGGUUUUGCUGUCACUUAUAGAUGGAUCCGCGCCGCAUUAGCUAGUUGGUAAGGUAACGGCUUACCAAGGCAACGAUGCGUAGCCGACCUGAGAGGGUGAUCGGCCACACUGGAACUGAGACACGGUCCAGACUCCUACGGGAGGCAGCAGUAGGGAAUCUUCCGCAAUGGGCGAAAGCCUGACGGAGCAACGCCGCGUGAGUGAUGAAGGUCUUCGGAUCGUAAAACUCUGUUAUUAGGGAAGAACAAAUGUGUAAGUAACUAUGCACGUCUUGACGGUACCUAAUCAGAAAGCCACGGCUAACUACGUG
This 496-nucleotide ribosomal RNA is filed under the name uncultured bacterium. RNAcentral's name for it is "partial 16S ribosomal RNA". It matches the Rfam family "Bacterial small subunit ribosomal RNA", at positions 29 to 507 of the family's 1533-position model. The record is from RNAcentral.